This 214-nucleotide ribosomal RNA is filed under the name uncultured bacterium. Its description in RNAcentral is "partial 16S ribosomal RNA". It matches the Rfam family "Bacterial small subunit ribosomal RNA", at positions 1289 to 1500 of the family's 1533-position model. The record is from RNAcentral.
CAGUUCGGAUUGCAGGCUGCAACUCGCCUGCAUGAAGUCGGAAUUGCUAGUAAUCGCGGAUCAGCAUGCCGCGGUGAAUACGUUCCCGGGCCUUGUAACACACCGCCCGUCACACCAUGAGAGCCGGGAACACCCGAAGUCCGUAGUCUAACCAUUAAGGAGGACGCGGCCGAAGGUGGGUUUGGUAAUUGGGGUGAAGUCGUAACAAGGUAGC